Molecule: ribosomal RNA, 301 nt
Filed under: uncultured bacterium
Lineage: Bacteria
Description: partial 16S ribosomal RNA
Rfam family: Bacterial small subunit ribosomal RNA
Source: RNAcentral
CAGCAGCCACGGUAAUACGUAGGUGGCAAGCGUUGUCCGGAAUUAUUGGGCGUAAAGCGCGCGCAGGUGGUUUAAUAAGUCUGAUGUGAAAGCCCACGGCUCAACCGUGGAGGGUCAUUGGAAACUGUUAAACUUGAGUGCAGGAGAGAAAAGUGGAAUUCCUAGUGUAGCGGUGAAAUGCGUAGAGAUUAGGAGGAACACCAGUGGCGAAGGCGGCUUUUUGGCCUGUAACUGACACUGAGGCGCGAAAGCGUGGGGAGCAAACAGGAUUAGAUACCCGCGUAGUCCCUGUCUCUUAUAC